CUUGACGGUCUCCUCACACGCGCGCCCCUCCUCCGUCGCCCCACGCUCGGCGCCGCCGCUCUCGCCCUGGGUCCGCGCUCCUCCGGCCCGCGCGCCCCUCCUUCUCCGGUCCAGCCCGCGCUCCUCUCUCUGAGCGCUCCGCCAGCUCGGCGCUGCCGACCCGCGCGCCCCUCCUCCGCCAGCUCGGGGCCGCCGACCCGCGCCCCUCCUUCGUCGCCCCGCACUCGGCGACGCCGCUCUCGCCCCGCGCUCACCCUGGCCUGCGCUCCUCCAGUCCCUGCGCCGCCAAGCCGUGCGCCCCUCCUUCCUCGUCGCCACCGCUUCGCCGCUGCUUCAUCGCCGCAACGGCAUGACAGGAGCAGAAAGCGGCAACGGUAGACGAUGCUCGUGCACGCGCGCCUGCGUAGGCGUCAGCGCGCUGCCCCAAGGAGCACCUCCCGCGGAGGCGACAUCCAGGCCCAAAGGCAGCGGCCGGGGUACUUCCCCAAGAAACAGAGCUGACAUAUCCGCGGCACUGGCGACGGCGGCGUUCGCUAGUCUCAGUUAGGUGGAUUCUCGUGGAGAAUCCCAGUGUGCGUUACUUCCAUUUUUUGGAUAGCAGCUUGGAAGGGCGCCGGCAGCACAUGUGGAUGGUCCACGCCAUUGGCCGCCGGCAACAAGCCCAAGCAAGGUGGGCAACUCGACACACUCCAGCUUUACCUAAAGGAACUGCAAGAACGACUGGCUUGCGAGCAAUGAAAAGCCAUCACACAACCACAUUUCCUGCAUUGCUUGCAAGGUGUUUGGUAAAAUCUGUAUACUCUAAUUCGUCACGGCCAGUGCAUCGUUACGGUUUGGAGCUUUGUAACUUUUCUAAAGGUUGCAUAAUUCCUUUUAUUUUAGUACUCUAAAAUCAAUCUAUUCCUCAUAUUUGUUUGCCAAACCUAAAUAUGCUGCCAUCAUAAUAGGUGUGCAGUACGGGCAUGUACUUGUCCAUAUGAAGGUGAUAUUACCUCUUAUUUGUCAGCUCUGUUGUGGUGUCAGAAAGCAACGAUUCAACAUACUAAGUGAUGUGUUUUUUAUUCUGAAAUUUCAGUCUUACUCUUACAUGCAAGUAGCUCUACACAUUUUGUUGAUCACUGAAGAAUCAUUCUACACAUUUCGUUACAGCAAUCUGUAGCUGCAGAUGAAGACAAGCGAUAAUGCUUGUGUGCUGACGCAGGUAUUCCUACUUAUAUGCUUCUCCAUUGCAUCUAAUAUUUGAAUGGCAUGCUUUAUGGCAAUAUAACAGUUUGACCAUUGUUCUGCAUUAAGAGAUCCUAUUUAAAUUUUUAGAUUACCAGUUCUAUCGAUUGGUUAUAUCAUCUAAGUCGCACGGGUACUAUACUUGAGAUACCAAUCUGAGACUAUAAUUCUUAUUUCUUUCCCAAUUAUAGACAGCCCUGGCCCUGGAGGGGGGCGAGAGGGGCGGCCGCCCCGGGCCCCCAAUUUCAAGGGGCCCCACCGGAGUACAUACUCCUAUUAGACUUAGUAGUGCAAUUAGAAUUCCAAUGGAUAGUUUUCGUAUCUGAGACUAUAAUUCUUAUUUCUUUCCCAAUUAUAGACAGCCCUGGCCCUGGAGGGGGGCGAGAGGGGCGGCCGCCCCGGGCCCCCAAUUUCAAGGGGCCCCACCGGAGUACAUACUCCUAUUAGACUUAGUAGUGCAAUUAGAAUUCCAAUGGACAGUUUUCGUUUUGCUCCGCACUCAUGCACCGCUGAAGCCCACAAAUCGCGAUUGCGGCGGCGGCGUCAGACCUUCGGCUUCCGCUUCCGCAGUUCCUUGCGCCGUGCCGCAACUCUCGCUGCCGGCCGCGCGCCGACGACCAACGCGCAGGCAAGACGGGCCAACGGCGCUCAGCGCCCGACGGAGACUAGCCUGGACGGCUGGACCAGGAGUGCAGGACGCAUCGCACAUGUGCUGAUGCACACAACAUGCAAGCAGCAAGCCGGCAAGUCAUAUUCAUCUAUUCAUGUUAGUUUAGUUUAAUUCCAUAACCGUCUCUCCUAUAAAUCAACCGGUUAUUUGAUCAAUCUUGGUUUUUUUUAAUUUACCACAUAGCGCAUUCAUGACUAACUUAUUUUAUUUUCUCUUUAAUUUCAGCAUAAAGUACUAUCAUGUCAUCUGGAAAAUAUUAAGCUAAGAGAGUGUUGCACUAUCUUUGCAAGCACUUUCUCUUCUGAUGGUUCAUCUGAUGUUGAUUUAAAUGAUCUGAUUUCAGAGUUACAUUUUCUUCAGCUGACUUUAACAGAUAAACCAAUAACUGCUAUGGAGAUUUUUGAGUAUGUUAGAGAAGUGGACUGCUGUCCUAAUGUUUCAAUUGCUUAUCAGAUUUUAUUUACUAAGCCUGUCGCUGUAGCAUCAGCUGAAAGAACAUUUUCAAAAGGAAUUAUAUGAGGUCCACAAUGUCUCAAGAAAGGUUAAAUGGUUUGGCAAUUUUAUGUAUCGAGAAGAAAUUAUUGGAUGAAAUCGAUAUCGAUACUAUCAUUAUCGACUUCGUAUCUAAAAAUAUUAGAAGAAACUUUUGAGGCUGCACUUUCCUUUUGGUGGACAAAUUGGAGAUAUAAUCUUCAGAGAUGAAAAGUAGAUCAAGGCAUCAAGACCAUGAAGAAAGGAAAAAUAAGAAAAGGAAAAAAAAUUGAGGGGGGGGGGGGAAGGUAUAUGAAAGGAUUACAGUUUGUCAUUUGCAUUUUUUAAAAGCAUUCUAUCCUUGUUCUGGAAGGCACGUAGUUCAUUUUUGCUGAAUAGAACAGCUACAGUAUUUGCCAUAUGCAUGCUUCAUAGAACCAGGUUUCACAAUAACAAAUGAAGUUCUUAUCAGUUCUUGUAAAGUUAUAUGUGAAUCUACUAAUUACAAUGUCAAUCCUGAAAGAGAGAUGUUCAGAGUCAUGCGGUGCUUACCCUACAGGAGGCUCUGGAAGCAUACUUGGUGGCUCUAUUCAAGGAAACAAAACUGUGCGUCAUCCACACCAACUGCCCAAGGGCAUUCAGCUGUCUAGGUGGAUCAACGUGAGAGGGCUUAGGUUCUCUGCUAUCCUAUCCUAGGAUAUUAAGGAUCCAAAUGAUGCUAUGAAAUUAAACUGUGUAAACGAUGUACUCUCUUGGUUCAAAUCUGUAUUCUCUGGACUGUUUCAACUUACACGUCCAUGGAUUCAGUAAUAUGGCAUGAUUUGCUCUUGUACCGUACCCAAAACAAAUCCACUUUGUCAAUACCCUUUCAGAAGUUAUAGAUUUUCCUUUUCAUUGCCUAGGAUUGUUUUUUGUAACAAAUUAUCUGCUCUUGUAUACCCAUAUAAAAUGUACCAGUUCCAAGAAUACCCAUAUAAAAUGUGUUGAUCCAUGUAUUGUUCUUGGUCAGAAAAAAUAGUGUGUUCUGUGAAGCGGAAGAACACUUGUACUGAAAUAAUACUAUGGCACUUUAGCUAUCAUAGGGCCAAGGUAUAUAUUUUUUGUUGUUGUACGAUACAAUAUAAGUGCUAUGAUGCAAUAACAUUAAUUCAAAUUUAGUUUGAAAUCUGCAUUUAUUAAUGGUUAUUAUGGUUGGCAUCAUAUUCAUGAUUUCUGAUUGACCAAAUAAAUUAAUGGUUGGAUAUUCGCUCAUACUGUCCACGUCUUUUAUGUCCUUAUAGUCCAGGUAGGGGCAUUGAUGAAUAUUGAUGGAAAAAAGAACUGGUUGAGUAUGGUGACUAUUGUAACACAUCUCCAAUGAUAAGCAUGCGAACCAGCACCAUGCAGUCCAGCCGGCAUCAUCACUGCUUUCUACCACAACUGGUGCAACAACUCCAUCAUCGAUGUAGGUGUCAUCUUCUUCGUCGUCAUCCUCAUCAAGACUCCAUCAUCUGGUUCGGGAACAGCUUCACCACGCACCUGAUUAGUAACGGAGGCAUCACCAGUUGUCCCUUGCUUGUCUGCUCUUGUCCAAUUUGACAAAUCCUCAUUUGAGCCUAAUAAGUUAAUGUCCUGGAUUCCCACAUCAAUUAGAUCGACUUCCAUGUCUCCCUCAUUUUCUGCUUCUGGCAUGGCAAACAAAUUUCUUGGUCACACUGCAACAACACUGGACCAUCCCUACUUGUUCAUAAGGUUGACAAAAAACACCGGUUCUGCCUAUAUUGCUAGAAUGUAAGGUUCAUUUGAAUAUCAAAACCUAGAAGCAUCAAUAUCGACAACACCAUAUUUAUCCCUACUGUAGCCUCUAUUUCUGCUAGUCCUGGCAGCCGGCACAUCAUACCAAUCACAUUGGAACAAUAGAACUUCUUUUUGUGUAGGGAAUUCGAGUGAGAUAAUUCUUCUAAUCACUCCAUACCAAAUCAUGUUGCUAGUAGUACCAUCACCCCUCACAAGUACACCACUGUUUUGAGUGACAAGAUUUCUCUCAAUGGAAGUCGUUCAAAAUGGCGUGUUAUUUAUGUAGCAUCUGUUGAACACACGAGCUCUAUGGUCCGGUCCCAGAGAAAGGGCAUACAUCAGUUCACUUGCCUCCCCUUUCUCAUAUAGCUUGGAGAUCUGCAAACUCAGUUUGAAAACAUAUGUCUCUAUUAAUAUGUAAAUUGAUCUAACCACACAAGGAAUAAAAAAUAGAACUAACCUUGCCCUCAAACCACCUUACAAAGUGCUCCUCGUGUCGUUUAUUAAGAUUCCUUAGACUAAUUUUUUUAAGUUCUUCCAUAUGCUCCCUACAUCAAAAUAACCAAUUAAUUAGUUGAUCCAAAAAUGGAUAGUAUAGUACAAUAAUUAAUGAUGGUAAAUUGCAACUUACUCGACCCAUGGUCUAGCUUCAUCGCAAUUACUAAUUAUGUAGUGCCUCAUCUUCUGUACCUCAUCUCCACCAAAUAUCUUGAUAGUCUGUCCUCUCCUCUUGUAAUCCAUUUCACCAAAUAUGCUCAGGCCAGAUGGCGGCUCAUUCACAGCUAUACUUUCAUGACGAUCAGCACGAUUCAGCUUGGUAUCGACAUCCAAGAAUCUGGAGCAAAAUGUAAGGCACUCCUCGACUAUGUAUCCCUUAGCUAUUGAACCUUCUGGGUGCGCCUUGUUCCGCACAUAUCCUUUAACAGUACGUAGAUACCUCUCCACUAGAUACAUCCAUCUAUAACACAUGCUUCCAUGCCUUCGAGUCAGCAGGGUGAUGCAUUUUCCCAUCAUUGACCAAUUCUUCCUUAUGCCAUCGCAUUUGUGAUGAUGUGCUCUCUGUCAUAUAUAAUCUUUGCAGGCGAGGAGUAAGAGGAAAAUACCAUAGUAUUUUUCGUGGGAUAUGCUUUAUAUUUGUUGUAACAGCACCACCAUCCGCAUCACCCAUGUGAGCACCAUUGUCGGGUAUUUUCCACCUAGACUCGCCACAUUUGGAACAUGUAUCCAGAUUUGCAUUUUCCUUCCAAAAUAACACGCAAUUCUUCUCACGGGCAUCUAUCUUUACAUAGUCCAAGCCUAGAUCUCGAACGACCCUUUGCACUUUCUCCAUUGUGUCUGGAACACAAUGGCCUUUAGGGAGAACCAUUGAGAACAGAUUAAGUACCCCCUCCAAUGCUCUGUUACUAAUGCUGUACAUGCACUUAAGCUGAAAAAGUUGCACAAUAAAUGAGACCUUAGUAGCAUCUGAGAAACCAGGAUACAAUUCCUUUUCUGCCUCUUGUAACAAUUUGAAGAAGAUCUUCGCAUGUUCAUUCGGCUGUUCAUUAGUAUCUCGGAUCUCUCCAUGUAUAGCACCUCUGAUUAGGGAUCUAACCAAAUUAGUGGCACCAUAGCCAUCACUCUGUGCAUCUUCUUCAUUGUCUACUGCGGUUUCAGGUGGUGUGGCUUCAUUGUAUACAUGUACAUCUGCUGCUACUGGUAUGUCAUUGUGAACUUCAACAUCAGCUGGUUGCACGAUUUCAUUGUGUAAUCCUACAUCUGAACCUUCCCCUUCCUGAAUAAAGCUUUCAUCAAACCUUCUAUUAAGCAAA
Panicum virgatum (switchgrass) is the source of this 5952-nucleotide RNA transcript. RefSeq lists it as uncharacterized. The record is from RefSeq and is a predicted model, not a curated record. NCBI's taxonomy places the organism in Eukaryota, Viridiplantae, Streptophyta, Magnoliopsida, Poales, Poaceae. The transcript is spliced from 6 exons.